Molecule: ribosomal RNA, 273 nt
Filed under: uncultured bacterium
Lineage: Bacteria
Description: partial 16S ribosomal RNA
Rfam family: Bacterial small subunit ribosomal RNA
Source: RNAcentral
UACAGAGGGUGCAAGCGUUGUUCGGAAUUAUUGGGCGUAAAGCGCGUGUAGGCGGCUUUGCAAGUCGGGUGUGAAAGCCCUCAGCUUAACUGAGGAAGUGCGCCCGAAACUGCAGAGCUUGAGUACCGGAGAGGAUGGUGGAAUUCCCCAAGUAGAGGUGAAAUUCGUAGAUAUGGGGAGGAACACCGGUGGCGAAGGCGACCAUCUGGACGGAUACUGACGCUGAGACGCGAAAGCGUGGGUAGCAAACAGGAUUAGAAACCCCCGUAGUCC